RNAcentral lists this ribosomal RNA (381 nucleotides) under uncultured bacterium. Its description in RNAcentral is "bacterial SSU rRNA". It matches the Rfam family "Bacterial small subunit ribosomal RNA", at positions 524 to 903 of the family's 1533-position model. The record is from RNAcentral.
UACGAAGGGGGCUAGCGUUGCUCGGAAUGACUGGGCGUAAAGGGCGCGUAGGCGGCUUAUACAGUCAGGCGUGAAAUUCCUGGGCUCAACCUGGGGACUGCGUCUGAUACGUAUGGGCUUGAGUGUGAAAGAGGGUCGUGGAAUUUCCAGUGUAGAGGUGAAAUUCGUAGAUAUUGGAAAGAACACCGGUGGCGAAGGCGGCGACCUGGUUCAUUACUGACGCUGAGGCGCGAAAGCGUGGGGGAGCAAACAGGAUUAGAUACCCUGGUAGUCCACGCUGUAAACGAUGUGUGCUGGAUGUUGGGGUGCUUAGCACUUCAGUGUCGUAGCUAACGCGGUAAGCACACCGCCUGGGGAGUACGGCCGCAAGGUUGAAACUCA